RNAcentral lists this ribosomal RNA (476 nucleotides) under uncultured bacterium. Its description in RNAcentral is "bacterial SSU rRNA". It matches the Rfam family "Bacterial small subunit ribosomal RNA", at positions 958 to 1392 of the family's 1533-position model. The record is from RNAcentral.
UAUCCCCCCCUGUGUGCCCUUGCCCUCCCCCACCGACCUGCAAAACGCGAAGAACCUUACCCGGGCUUGAAAUGCAUCUGACAGGGGCAGAGACGCCCUCUUCCUUCGGGACAGAUGUGUAGGUGCUGCAUGGUUGUCGUCAGCUCGUGCCGUGAGGUGUCGGCUUAAGUGCCAUAACGAGCGCAACCCUCAUCAUUAGUUACCAUCAGGUUAAGCUGGGGACUCUAAUGAGACUGCCAUCGUAAGAUGAGAGGAAGGUGGGGAUGACGUCAAAUCAGCACGGCCCUUACGUCCGGGGCGACACACGUGUUACAAUGGGUGGUACAAAGGGCAGCUACAUGGCGACAUGAUGCUAAUCUCCAAAACCAUUCUCAGUUCGGAUUGCACUCUGCAACUCGGGUGCAUGAAGUUGGAAUCGCUAGUAAUCGCAGAUCAGCAUGCUGCGGUGAAUACGUUCCCGGGUCUUGUACACACCG